Molecule: ribosomal RNA, 89 nt
Filed under: Mycoplasmopsis pullorum
Lineage: Bacteria; Bacillati; Mycoplasmatota; Mycoplasmoidales; Metamycoplasmataceae
Description: Mycoplasma pullorum partial 23S ribosomal RNA
Rfam family: Bacterial large subunit ribosomal RNA
Source: RNAcentral
CCUUAUAGACUACGAGGUUGAUAGGAUGGAAGUGUACGUGUAGUAAUACAUUCAGCUGACCAUUACUAAUAAAUUGAUAGGUUUAAAAG